GGGGAUGUAACUCAGUAAGUAGAGUAUCUGCCUAGUAUGCAGAAGGCCCUGGGUUCAAUCCCCAGUGACACAG
This 73-nucleotide transfer RNA is filed under the name Cricetulus griseus (Chinese hamster). It matches the Rfam family "tRNA". From Rfam's summary of the family: Transfer RNA (tRNA) molecules are approximately 80 nucleotides in length. Their secondary structure includes four short double-helical elements and three loops (D, anti-codon, and T loops). Further hydrogen bonds mediate the characteristic L-shaped molecular structure. tRNAs have two regions of fundamental functional importance: the anti-codon, which is responsible for specific mRNA codon recognition, and the 3' end, to which the tRNAs corresponding amino acid is attached (by aminoacyl-tRNA synthetases). tRNAs cope with the degeneracy of the genetic code in two manners: having more than one tRNA (with a specific anti-codon) for a particular amino acid; and 'wobble' base-pairing, i.e. permitting non-standard base-pairing at the 3rd anti-codon position. Lineage: Eukaryota; Metazoa; Chordata; Mammalia; Rodentia; Cricetidae. The record is from Rfam by way of RNAcentral.